This 465-nucleotide ribosomal RNA is filed under the name uncultured bacterium. Its description in RNAcentral is "partial 16S ribosomal RNA". It matches the Rfam family "Bacterial small subunit ribosomal RNA", at positions 28 to 523 of the family's 1533-position model. The record is from RNAcentral.
GAUGAACGCUGGCGGCGUGCCUAACACAUGCAAGACGAGCGAACCCUUCGGGGUGAGCGGCGGACGGGUGAGUAACGCGUGGGUAACCUGCCCUGUACACACGGAUAACAUACCGAAAGGUAUGCUAAUACGAGAUAAUAUAUUUUAAUCGCAUGGUUAAGAUAUCAAAGCUCCGGCGGUACAGGAUGGACCCGCGUCUGAUUAGCUAGUUGGUGAGGUAAUGGCUCAACAAGGCGACGAUCAGUAGCCGACCUGAGAGGGUGAUCGGCCACACGGCAACUGAGACACGGUGCAGACUCCGACGGGAAGCAGCAGUGGGAAUAUUGCACAAGGGGAGAAAGCCUGAUGCGGCAACGCCGCGUGAGCGAUGAAGGCCUUCGGGUCGUAAAGCUCUGUCCUCAAGGAAGGUAAUGACGGUACUUGAGGAGGAAGCCCCGGCUAACUACGUGCCAGCCGCCGCCGUAA